GCAAGGAAUAUUGCGCAAUGGGCGAAAGCCUGACGCAGCGACGCCGCGUGGGGGAAGAAGACCUUCGGGUUGUAAACCCCUUUUCCCGGGGACGAAUAAUGACGGUACCCGGGGAAUAAGUCUCGGCCAACUACGUGCCAGCAGCCGCGGUAAUACGUAGGAGGCAAGCGUUAUCCGGAUUCACUGGGCGUAAAGCGGGUGCAGGCGGUUUGGUAAGUCGGAUGUAAAAUCUCCUGGCUUAACUGGGAGGGCGCAUUCGAAACUACCAGACUAGAGGGCAGCAGAGGAAGAUGGAAUUCCCGGUGUAGUGGUGAAAUGCGUAGAUAUCGGGAGGAACACCAGUGGCGAAAGCGAUCUUCCAGGCUGUACCUGACGCUGAGACCCGAAAGCGUGGGGAGCAAACAGGAUUAGAUACCCUAGUAGUCC
RNAcentral lists this ribosomal RNA (426 nucleotides) under uncultured bacterium. Its description in RNAcentral is "bacterial SSU rRNA". It matches the Rfam family "Bacterial small subunit ribosomal RNA", at positions 354 to 796 of the family's 1533-position model. The record is from RNAcentral.